UACAGAGGGGGCAAGCGUUAUUCGGAAUUAUUGGGCGUAAAGGGCGCGUAGGCGGCCUGGCAAGUGGAAGGUGAAAUCCCUCGGCUUAACCGAGGAACUGCCCUCCAAACUGCUUGGCUUGAGUCCGGGAGAGGUGAGUGGAAUUCCCAGUGUAGCGGUGAAAUGCGUAGAUAUUGGGAGGAACACCAGUGGCGAAGGCGGCUCACUGGACCGGAACUGACGCUGAGGCACGAAAGCGUGGGGAGCAAACAGG
This 253-nucleotide ribosomal RNA is filed under the name uncultured bacterium. RNAcentral's name for it is "partial 16S ribosomal RNA". It matches the Rfam family "Bacterial small subunit ribosomal RNA", at positions 524 to 776 of the family's 1533-position model. The record is from RNAcentral.